Molecule: ribosomal RNA, 468 nt
Filed under: uncultured bacterium
Lineage: Bacteria
Description: partial 16S ribosomal RNA
Rfam family: Bacterial small subunit ribosomal RNA
Source: RNAcentral
GAUGAACGCUGGCGGCGUGCUUAACACAUGCAAGUCGAACGGAAAGGCCCUGCUUUUGUGGGGUGCUCGAGUGGCGAACGGGUGAGUAACACGUGUGUAACCUGCCCUUGACUUUGGGAGAACUUCAGGAAACUGGGGCUAAUACCGGAUAGGAGCUCCUGCUGCGUGGUGGGGAUUGGAAAGUUUCGGCGGUUGGGGAUGGUCUCGCGGCUUAUCAGCUUGUUGGUGGGGUAGUGGCUUACCAAGGCUUUGACGGGUAGCCGGCCUGAGAGGGUGACCGGCGACAUUAGUACUGAGAGACGGCCCAGUCUCCUACGGGAGGCAGCAGUCGGGAAUAUUGCACAAUGGGCGGAAGCCUGAGACAGAGACGCCGCGGUCGGGAUGACGUCCUUCGGGGUGAGAACCGCUGUCGCCUGAGACGAAGCGUGAGUGACGGUAAUGAGUAAAGAAGCACCGGCUAACUACGUG